This 305-nucleotide ribosomal RNA is filed under the name uncultured bacterium. RNAcentral's name for it is "partial 16S ribosomal RNA". It matches the Rfam family "Bacterial small subunit ribosomal RNA", at positions 335 to 657 of the family's 1533-position model. The record is from RNAcentral.
ACCCUACGGGGGGCAGCAGUGGGGAAUAUUGCACAAUGGGGGAAACCCUGAUGCAGCGACGCCGCGUGGGCGACGAAGCGCUCCGGCGCGUAAAGCCCUGUCAGCAGGGAAGAAAAAAGACAGUACCUGACCAAGAAGCCCCGGCUAACUACGUGCCAGCAGCCGCGGUAAUACGUAGGGGGCAAGCGUUAUCCGGAUUCACUGGGUGUAAAGGGAGCGUAGACGGUGCAGCAAGUCUGAUGUGAAAGGUCGGGGCCCAACCCCGGGACUGCAUUGGAAACUGUUGAACUGGAGUACAGGGGGGG